UUUGUUUCUGGAGAUUUAAAAAAUAAUAACAUUCCAGUGUUACUGGGAGACUGAUUUACUAUUCAGAGACAAAUAAGUUGGAGAGAAAUUUUUUGUUCAACCAUACUAAAUACUAAGGCAAGGUAUUGCAUUAUUACAAGGUAAGACUAGAGGGACUAGAGACUUACUUUUGAUGCAUGAGUGUCUUAUUGUUUCAAUGAAGUAUCAUUUUACCUUCAAAACUUUAGCUCCGGCCGGGUGCGAUGGCUCACUCCUAUAAUCCCAGCACUUUGGGAGGCCGAGAUAAUUUUUCACAACAAGAUAAUGUCCCUUAGAUUAUCGAGUGCUGUCUACAUUUCAGUGCAGAUUCUUGGAGUUAUUUCAAAGUUUCUUCUGAUUUGAUCUAGAAGAACAAGAUCUAGAAUCUGGGGCAAGAUUAUCCAAACCUGAAAUCAAGGCCUCAGGAAUACCUUAUACCAAGUCUUGGAAUGUGGGUUUUCGUAUAAGCAGCUCUCUUCUUUACAACAGCUUUGC
Molecule: long non-coding RNA, 513 nt
Filed under: Homo sapiens (human)
Lineage: Eukaryota; Metazoa; Chordata; Mammalia; Primates; Hominidae
Description: non-protein coding lnc-TAOK1-3:2
Source: RNAcentral